This 70-nucleotide transfer RNA is filed under the name Ictidomys tridecemlineatus (thirteen-lined ground squirrel). Its description in RNAcentral is "Spermophilus tridecemlineatus (thirteen-lined ground squirrel) tRNA". It matches the Rfam family "tRNA". Rfam says of the family: Transfer RNA (tRNA) molecules are approximately 80 nucleotides in length. Their secondary structure includes four short double-helical elements and three loops (D, anti-codon, and T loops). Further hydrogen bonds mediate the characteristic L-shaped molecular structure. tRNAs have two regions of fundamental functional importance: the anti-codon, which is responsible for specific mRNA codon recognition, and the 3' end, to which the tRNAs corresponding amino acid is attached (by aminoacyl-tRNA synthetases). tRNAs cope with the degeneracy of the genetic code in two manners: having more than one tRNA (with a specific anti-codon) for a particular amino acid; and 'wobble' base-pairing, i.e. permitting non-standard base-pairing at the 3rd anti-codon position. The record is from Rfam by way of RNAcentral. Lineage: Eukaryota; Metazoa; Chordata; Mammalia; Rodentia; Sciuridae.
GAGGAUGUGGCUCAGUGGUAGUGCCCUCGCCUGGCAUGCGUGCGGCCUGGGUUCGAUCCUCAGCACCACA